GUGAAGUUUGCGAUCCAAUACAUGCGAAAAGUUAUUCAGAAAAAGGCGAAGUUUGACAUAAUGGACCUGAACACCAUUAAGGUGGCAAAUUCUUGCUUCGUUCCAGUUUUACUAGGGCAUGCCAUUGAUGAUGAUUUCAUACGCCCCCACCUACCUUCCCAUUCAAUCCAUUGUUUGCUAUGUGAGGCUCAUCUUUUAAUGAAUGCUUUUUGCGCAGGGAGACAAAAACAUUAUCAAAUUUGAGGGUGACCAUAAUUCUCCACGCCCUCUUGAUUCUAUAAAUAUAUUUUUCGACAAUGUUUUGCAACCUCCAGAGGAUGAAGUAGCUGGAGCUUUUUUUGAUCCUAUGGAUGAUUACUUUGGUAAGGGCGGUUGGAGAAAUGUUCAUGAAGUAGGUAAUGACCAUGGAUCUUCUGCUACAUCUAAAGGCAAGACUCAAGUACCUAGUCUCUCUUUUGCUCUCAAAUACGGAUAUCUUUCAUGAUCUUUAUUCAGCAACCGCUCCUUUCUUGUAUCUCAUUGAUUUCUAUAAGUUGCAGAGCCAGCCACAAGCAGUACAGCAGAUGCCAUUACAAAACUCCGUACUAGAAGACCAAUGAGUAGGACACAGGUUAGUGAUUGAUUGGUUUUCUUUUUGUGCUUAG
Long non-coding RNA from Juglans regia (Persian walnut), 644 nucleotides. RefSeq lists it as uncharacterized. Lineage: Eukaryota; Viridiplantae; Streptophyta; Magnoliopsida; Fagales; Juglandaceae. The record is from RefSeq and is a predicted model, not a curated record. The transcript has 3 exons.